GCCAGGUGUCUCAGAAGGGGCGCGGGUUCGAAUCCCGCAGGGCUCAUUUAACCAAUUUCCACUGUUAAAUCACCAAACAGUACCGGAAGUCCCCGGGUUCGGAGGCAUUCGGGCGCUAAUUCUCACUGAUCUUGUGGGGCUAGAACCCCCCGGGUGCUUCAAGUUAGAUCAGUACUAGAUAGGUAUAGUGGGGUGGUGGUGGCAUGGUGGGUGGAGCAACCUGCGGGAUAGUGAAUUAUUGUCAAGCUUAACCAGCCAGGGAUUCAUUGCACUGCCCCAUUCAGCCCCACUAAUCUAUCUAGGCACCUCUAAAUUCCAGGGAAUAGAUUUAAAAACUAUCUGAUUAGGA
RNAcentral lists this small RNA (349 nucleotides) under Histoplasma capsulatum var. duboisii H88. RNAcentral describes it as "Histoplasma capsulatum H88 hypothetical RNA". The record is from RNAcentral. Lineage: Eukaryota; Fungi; Ascomycota; Eurotiomycetes; Onygenales; Ajellomycetaceae.